RNAcentral lists this long non-coding RNA (325 nucleotides) under Malus domestica (apple). RNAcentral's name for it is "long non-coding RNA (MDOM_LNC019960)". Lineage: Eukaryota; Viridiplantae; Streptophyta; Magnoliopsida; Rosales; Rosaceae. The record is from RNAcentral.
CAUAGCCGCACCUUUCCACCACCAUCACCACCUUGUGCAGCCACCAUUGGAGGAGGAAGAAGGAGUGCCGUGCAGCCCAAAGGAGGAAGACACCUUGCACAUGCAAUCUGCCAUUAGUGGAGUGUUUUGGAGUUCUUUCUUUCUUUGUUUCUGUUUUCAUGUUUAAUUUAACUUGCUUUUCAAUUAUGUUAAACAUGUGGAACUAAUUUCUUUUUUAGUUAGAGGUGAAUUUGAAGCCAUGGACAUAUGUGUUAUAUGAUUUGAUUUCUUCCAAUUAUGAUUUCAGAAAUUGUGAAUGUGAUUUACUUAUCUAUUUGAUUGAUAA